This 263-nucleotide long non-coding RNA is filed under the name Elaeis guineensis (African oil palm). Its description in RNAcentral is "long non-coding RNA (EGUI_LNC053150)". Lineage: Eukaryota; Viridiplantae; Streptophyta; Magnoliopsida; Arecales; Arecaceae. The record is from RNAcentral.
UCAAUACCUUUGGAUCCUCAAUAAAACUUCUGAGCCAAGCUAGUGUAAGUCAGUAGAUCGAGGGAAUAUGGAAACUCCCAUACUUACUUCUUAAUUAGCCAUCCAGUCAUGAAAUUUUUCUUUCCUAAAAUCAAUCUUGCGGUUGGUAUCGCCAUGCAUGUGGCAUGAAGGAUUGAGGAUGGAGGAGACUGAGGUAGAGGAGCGCUAGGCAUAGGCUCAUUGUGCGUGGGCACAUCAUUUUGGAUUUUUGUCCUUUGCUCGGC